GAAAUGCGAUAAGUAGUGUGAAUUGCAGAAUUCAGUGAAUCAUCGAAUCUUUGAACGCACAUUGCGCCCCUUGGUAUUCCAUGGGGCAUGCCUGUUCGAGCGUCAUUUGUACCCUCAAGCUCUGCUUGGUGUUGGGUGUUUGUCCCGUCUCCGCGCGUGGACUCGCCCCAAAGUGAUUGGCAGCCGGCGUACUGGUCCCGGAGCGCAGCACAUGUCGCGCAAACGAGUGCCUUGGUACGGCGGCGUCCAUAAGCCCCUCUCUCACGCUCUUGACCUCGGAUCAGGUAGAGAUACCCGCUGAACAUAAGC
This 309-nucleotide unclassified non-coding RNA is filed under the name plant metagenome. RNAcentral's name for it is "partial contains 5.8S ribosomal RNA, internal transcribed spacer 2, and large subunit ribosomal RNA". The stretch from base 1 to 105 matches the Rfam family "5.8S ribosomal RNA", at positions 50 to 154 of the family's 154-position model. The record is from RNAcentral.